UGACGACCAUAGCAAGGCGGCCCCACCCCUUCCCAUCCCGAACAGGACCGUGAAACGCCUUCGCGCCGAUGAUAGUGCGGAGCUCCCGCGUGAAAGUAGGUCAUCGUCA
Molecule: ribosomal RNA, 109 nt
Filed under: Tepidimonas sediminis
Lineage: Bacteria; Pseudomonadati; Pseudomonadota; Betaproteobacteria; Burkholderiales
Source: RNAcentral